GAUGAACGCUAGCGGCAGGCUUAAUACAUGCAAGUCGAGGGGCAGCAUGAUUGUAGCAAUACAAUUGAUGGCGACCGGCAAACGGGUGCGGAACACGUACACAACCUUCCAAUAAGUGGGGGAUAGCCCAGAGAAAUUUGGAUUAAUACCCCGUAACAUAGCGAUGUGGCAUCACAUUGCUAUUAUAGAUUUUUCGCUUAUUGAUGGGUGUGCGGCUGAUUAGAUAGUUGGCGGGGUAACGGCCCACCAAGUCUACGAUCAGUAGCUGAUGUGAGAGCAUGAUCAGCCACACGGGCACUGAGACACGGGCCCGACUCCUACGGGAGGCAGCAGUAAGGAAUAUUGGACAAUGGACGCAAGUCUGAUCCAGCCAUGCCGCGUGAAGGAUUAAGGUCCUCUGGAUUGUAAACUUCUUUUACUAAGGGACGUAAAAGGGCUUUUACUAAGUCGUCUCGACGGUACCUUAUCGAAUAAGCACCGGCUAACUCCGUACG
This 494-nucleotide ribosomal RNA is filed under the name uncultured bacterium. RNAcentral's name for it is "bacterial SSU rRNA". It matches the Rfam family "Bacterial small subunit ribosomal RNA", at positions 28 to 509 of the family's 1533-position model. The record is from RNAcentral.